AGAGUUUGAUCCUGGCUCAGAUUGAACGCUGGCGGAAUGCUUUACACAUGCAAGUCGAACGGCAGCACGGGGCAACCUGGUGGCGAGUGGCGAACGGGUGUGUAAUACAUCGGAACGUGCCCAAUCGUGGGGGAUAACGUAGCGAAAGUUACGCUAAUACCGCAUACGAUCUACGGAUGAAAGCGGGGGAUCGCAAGACCUCGCGCGAGUGGAGCGGCCGAUGUCAGAUUAGGUAGUUGGUGGGGUAAAGGCUCACCAAGCCAACGAUCUGUAGCUGGUCUGAGAGGACGACCAGCCACACUGGAACUGAGACACGGUCCAGACUCCUACGGGAGGCAGCAGUGGGGAAUUUUGGACAAUGGGCGCAAGCCUGAUCCAGCCAUUCCGCGUGCAGGAUGAAGGCCUUCGGGUUGUAAACUGCUUUUGUACGGAACGAAACGGCGAGCUCUAAUACAGUUUGCUAAUGACGGUACCGUAAGGAUAAGCACCGGCUAACUACGUG
This 502-nucleotide ribosomal RNA is filed under the name uncultured bacterium. RNAcentral's name for it is "bacterial SSU rRNA". It matches the Rfam family "Bacterial small subunit ribosomal RNA", at positions 8 to 507 of the family's 1533-position model. The record is from RNAcentral.